CAGCUGGCUGCAACUGUUUAAUAAAAACACAGCACUGUGCAAACACGAAAGUGGACGUAUACGGUGUGACGCCUGCCCGGUGCUGGAAGGUUAAUUGAUGGGGUCAGCCGCAAGGCGAAGCUCUUGAUCGAAGCCCCAGUAAACGGCGGCCGUAACUAUAACGGUCCUAAGGUAGCGAAAUUCCUUGUCGGGUAAGUUCCGACCUGCACGAAUGGCGUAAUGAUGGCCAGGCUGUCUCCACCCGAGACUCAGUGAAAUUGAACUCGCUGUGAAGAUGCAGUGUACCCGCGGCAAGACGGAAAGACCCCGUGAACCUUUACUAUAGCUUGACACUGAACAUUGAGCCUUGAUGUGUAGGAUAGGUGGGAGGCAUAGAAGUGUGGACGCCAGUCUGCAUGGAGCCAACCUUGAAAUACCACCCUUUAAUGUUUGAUGUUCUAACUCGGCCCCGUAAUCCGGGGUGAGGACAGUGUCUGGUGGGUAGUUUGACUGGGGCGGUCUCCUCCCAAAGAGUAACGGAGGAGCACGAAGGUUAGCUAAUCACGGUCGGACAUCGUGAGGUUAGUGCAAAGGCAUAAGCUAGCUUGACUGCGAGAGUGACGGCUCGAGCAGGUACGAAAGUAGGUCUUAGUGAUCCGGUGGUUCUGAAUGGAAGGGCCAUCGCUCAACGGAUAAAAGGUACUCCGGGGAUAACAGGCUGAUACCGCCCAAGAGUUCAUAUCGACGGCGGUGUUUGGCACCUCGAUGUCGGCUCAUCACAUCCUGGGGCUGAAGUAGGUCCCAAGGGUAUGGCUGUUCGCCAUUUAAAGUGGUACGCGAGCUGGGUUUAGAACGUCGUGAGACAGUUCGGUCCCUAUCUGCCGU
RNAcentral lists this ribosomal RNA (864 nucleotides) under Yersinia enterocolitica. RNAcentral describes it as "partial 23S ribosomal RNA". It matches the Rfam family "Bacterial large subunit ribosomal RNA", at positions 1783 to 2648 of the family's 2925-position model. Lineage: Bacteria; Pseudomonadati; Pseudomonadota; Gammaproteobacteria; Enterobacterales; Yersiniaceae. The record is from RNAcentral.